UUUCUUUGUUUUAUUGUUUCUUUUAGGAUGGCUGAUAUUAGACAUGCAUGUGCAUACAGCAAAGGGAGUAACCCAAUAGUGAGGAAGAAAUUGAUGCUGUAGGAGAGAGGGAAUAAUUGCCGAAGCAAAGAUCUUGAGGUACUGAGAAAGGAUGACCUUAAUUUCCUUAAUGAUGCAGCCUGCUUCCACCGAGGGAACUGAAGGCUCCUUGAGCAAAAUUAUCUACCUGUUCACCUUUGGAUCUUUCACAGUUCCCAGUCUGAAAUCCUAGAAAUGCUAAGAUCUCAGGACAUCUAUGCUAAGCCCAGAAAACACUGACGAGCUUUUCCGUUCCUG
Cercocebus atys (sooty mangabey) is the source of this 336-nucleotide long non-coding RNA. RefSeq lists it as uncharacterized. The transcript has 3 exons. Lineage: Eukaryota; Metazoa; Chordata; Mammalia; Primates; Cercopithecidae. The record is from RefSeq and is a predicted model, not a curated record.